UGGUGUCGUGAGAUGUCUGGUUAAGUCCGAUAACGAACGAGACCUUAACCUGCUAAAUAGUCAUGUCAACUUUUGUUGGCACUUGGCUUCUUAGAGGGACUAACUAUGUUUAAUAGUUGGAAGUUUGAGGCAAUAACA
This 138-nucleotide ribosomal RNA is filed under the name uncultured eukaryote. RNAcentral's name for it is "partial 18S ribosomal RNA". It matches the Rfam family "Eukaryotic small subunit ribosomal RNA", at positions 1299 to 1458 of the family's 1831-position model. The record is from RNAcentral.